AAUCCUCACCACAUCAACCUUGGUGUUGAGAUGGUGGAUCUGAACUUGCAAUUGAUAUUCUUGAUUGCUGGUUUAAAAUGAAUUUCAUGAAGCUCAAAUGGUUUGAGUUUAAGGCUUAAUAGUUUUGGUUUCGACCAAAUCUUUAGCUUUUGAUCAAGCCAAAAGUGAAUUGAUUUUUACGAAAUCUUUCAUU
Molecule: unclassified non-coding RNA, 193 nt
Filed under: uncultured Mucoromycota
Lineage: Eukaryota; Fungi; Mucoromycota
Description: sequence contains ITS2
Source: RNAcentral